RNAcentral lists this transfer RNA (72 nucleotides) under Plantibacter flavus. RNAcentral describes it as "tRNA_Thr_GGT". It matches the Rfam family "tRNA". Rfam says of the family: Transfer RNA (tRNA) molecules are approximately 80 nucleotides in length. Their secondary structure includes four short double-helical elements and three loops (D, anti-codon, and T loops). Further hydrogen bonds mediate the characteristic L-shaped molecular structure. tRNAs have two regions of fundamental functional importance: the anti-codon, which is responsible for specific mRNA codon recognition, and the 3' end, to which the tRNAs corresponding amino acid is attached (by aminoacyl-tRNA synthetases). tRNAs cope with the degeneracy of the genetic code in two manners: having more than one tRNA (with a specific anti-codon) for a particular amino acid; and 'wobble' base-pairing, i.e. permitting non-standard base-pairing at the 3rd anti-codon position. Lineage: Bacteria; Bacillati; Actinomycetota; Actinomycetes; Micrococcales; Microbacteriaceae. RNAcentral also lists the same sequence under 22 other names. The record is from RNAcentral.
GCUCCGAUAGCUCAGUGGUAGAGCACUUCCUUGGUAAGGAAGAGGUCGCGGGUUCAAGUCCCGCUCGGGGCU